This 75-nucleotide transfer RNA is filed under the name bacterium. RNAcentral's name for it is "tRNA-Arg". It matches the Rfam family "tRNA". From Rfam's summary of the family: Transfer RNA (tRNA) molecules are approximately 80 nucleotides in length. The record is from RNAcentral.
GUCCCUGUAGUUCAACGGAUAGAAUAACUCCGUCCUAAGGAGCAGAUAUUGGUUCGAUUCCAGUCGGGGAUACCA